CUGACUACGCGUGGGUUGACACAGAUUCUGACUGAGAGUCACAGCCUCAGAGGCAACGUAAACAAGCGUUAUAUUUCUCUAUAAACGAUGGUGUCUGUACUGCCUUACCACUUCGAGCUCGAUCCAGAGAGUUCAGAAGGCCGUUACGAUAUAAACGAUCUCCGUCAAUGAAUGCGAUUGGAUUUAACUUUUUUAGGUGUCCUUAGCUCUGCCAGAAUGCUAAACGAAGACGAAAAUGUGUUGCAAAGACAUCCAAAAGGUUUUAAGGAGAAUGCAACAGGUUCCAGGGCCUCUUACCUGCGUGAUUCAUCAUCCAGAUAUGCUUGGAGCUUCCUGAUUGGAAUGUUGGCUUCCGACGACCCCUGCACUGAAGAUGGCAUGCAAUCACGUCCUCCUUUGAAGGUUUCUCAAACUGUGAUGCCAGGUCCAUUGGAAUCGGGGUUUCCUUCAGCUUAUCUUCAAAUACCUCAUCAAACACAAGCCUGAUCACAUCAUCCACAUAACUGUAGAAAUAUUGCAGUCAAUAAAUCUUUUGUUUUGAUCAUUUAUUUCCCUGCUUCAUACAUUAAGUUUUUAAUUAUGAAUGUAUUUGAAAUAAAACAUUACUGCUUA
Molecule: long non-coding RNA, 612 nt
Organism: Paramisgurnus dabryanus
Lineage: Eukaryota; Metazoa; Chordata; Actinopteri; Cypriniformes; Cobitidae
Source: RefSeq, a predicted model, not a curated record